CUAUUGUUACAGAUGAUUAAAAAAAAAAUCUUCAUUAAACUUUUUUUUGAAUUUCCUUUAAGUUUUUACGACCUAUUACCAUAAAGUAGAACUAUGGAAACUAUUUCAUUUAUAAUUAAAAUAUAAUAAUAUAUAAUUUAUUUUUCUUCGCUUAGGUUUCCCCAAAUAGCCAGCUCCCAUUAGAAUUAAAGUAUCAAUAUUUAAAUUGGGAAUGCAAACAUGCUGGAGUAAUUAACUCUCGAGGAAAAGAAAAGCGCCAGACUAAUACUUUUGCUAAUGGAUGUUCUGUACAAAUAACCAUAGUGUAUGAAUGUUUAUUUAAAAAUUCGUAUUGAAUUUUGUGUUGAAAAACAUAAUUUUUUUUUUUUUAAUUUUGCUAGUUUUAUAAAACAUUUGGAAUAUAAUAUGGGUAAGAAGAGGUUGUAACCUUGAA
Hydra vulgaris (swiftwater hydra) is the source of this 433-nucleotide non-coding RNA. Lineage: Eukaryota; Metazoa; Cnidaria; Hydrozoa; Anthoathecata; Hydridae. The record is from RefSeq and is a predicted model, not a curated record.